GGGCCCUCCACCCUCCGUCCGGCCGCGACCGCGAGGAGGAAGAGGAGAUGGGCUACGCGAGGCCCGGCCCACCCCGCGUUCGCGCGUGCGCACGGGGAGGCCGGGGCGGGGCGCGUGAGGACUUCGGCGCGCGCCGGAAGCACGUGCGCGGGCUGGGCGCUCUGGCGGUGUGCGCUGAGGCUCCUGAGUAUAACAGAUUGGUUCUGAUUAAAACCAUUUCAGAGGAAAGACAGUGAUCCCAGGAAGCGGGAAGAAAACAGCAUCACCUGAAGUUAUUCCUAUUCGUUAGAUUUGUUUUCUUCCUGCGAAAAACUGCUAUGUACAAGAAAGAAGUCAGUGAGCUGCAGUGAUAGUUAGCAUUAUUGACUGAAACUGGACCAGAGAUCCCUGAAACCUGGACAAGGUGGUAGAAAUACAAAUUAUGCUGCCAUUUCAAAGCUGUGGGCAGUUUUCUACUUUGUGGAAAAUGAAGACUUAGGUAGGCCUUUGGGAAAGACGAUUUGUUUUGGAAAAACCACCCAAAGGGAUCAUUUGGUUUGCAAAUGUAACUGCAGUAUCACAACUGGAAGAAGAAAUAUACAAGGGCGAGGUUUGAAGGAGCCCUUCAGUAUCCUUGGAUGAUACUGUGGAAGAUUCUUUGCAUCUCAGUAACUUUGGAUCUUUGAAGAUCCAAGAAAAUAAAUUUCUUCAAAAUAUUUUUAGAGACUGCUUUGAUUCUGAGGCACUGCUGAUUAUAUGGAAGAAAAAAAUAUUGGAAGAUUAAUUUGUGGUUUUCUCCAGUUAUCGUCUCCCUUCUCUUUGGGGGAGGUUUGUGACGCAGUAAAAACAGAUAUACAAAAGCCUAGGCAUGUUAGAGAUUUGCCUAAGGGAAAUGUAAUUAUGAAGAAGGAUUUUUUCAAGCUGAAACUAGAUCCCACUUUUUUCCAGGUCAGUGGGUCCUUCAAGUAUCUGGUACUUUCCUUCCUGCUUCCUGACAAUGUUAAAGAAUGUGGCAUGACCUUACAUUUAAUGCCCAACGUGAGGAGCCCUGGGGCUUGAUGCAUGAGAUUCUUGGAGCUAGGCCUGGUGGAGGGCACUGGUCACAGCCUCGGUGGAAUGGUGACUUUCUUUGGUAACUGGAAUUGAAGAAAAUGAGUGGACUUGUGUCUGAGCACUUGGGAACUCAGCAAUCCCUGGGUGUUACCUUGAGAAGGAGCCAAAUUCCAGACAUACAAGUGGAGACUUGAAAAUGGAAGCUCAAUUCCACACCCAGGCUGGUGGAGACUAUGACAUAUAACUCACAUCUUCAAGAAAGUAGACACCUCAGAGGUCACUGGGCCACUUUACCUUCCACUGUCAAAACUAUGUCCAUGAUCAGAUACCUCUGUUGCUAGGGAAUAUUCAGUCAGAAUGGGCUAGAUUAACUGCAGUAAUGCAGAUCUCUCAACCCAUUUAUGACUUACGCAGCAAAGUUCCUCGCUCAGACUACCUGUCCACUCCCACGAGCAGAGACUUGCUCAUGGGCCCUCCUAGACCCAGGCUGACCGAGUGUGUUUUAUCUAAAUGCAUCUCCACAAUCACUCAGGUAGGAGUGGCUAUGCAUUAGGACUGAUUGUGCAUUAGUUAGAGAAGCACUUACCAGGAAUUGCUAUAAGAACUUCUAUUUACAUUUCAUGGGCCAAAGCAAGUCAUGUGGCAACACUUAAUUUCAAAGAGGACAGGAAAUGCAAUAUUGUUAUGUCCCUGAAAGAAAGGAGAAGAGAAAGUCUAUGGAAAGACAUUAUGACUACCACUGGAAUUUUCACCUGUCCAGGCAGCUCAUCGUGCUUUUAUUUGAAACAAUUUUAUUGAAGUAUAGGCAUAACUGCACAUACCAUCUGUCCCAGUGUCAGGCACAUUUUAGGUGCCCAACAAACAUCUGUGGAAUGAAUGAAUGAGUGCUGGCACCACCUAUAAGCACACAGUAAGGAUAACCAUGGAGAGAAUAUGCCGAGCCUUUUAAUCAGCCCAGAAGAGCGCCUUCUGUGUUAAGGCGAAAUGCCAGAAUCCCAAGGAACAGAUUCACCACCCAGGGGCGGGACUCAGGGACUGCUGAUACUGAGGCUGCCCUGUGGGUUUUCCUUCCAGAUCCCUUCUUGAUUUGCCCAAAAGAAUUUCACGUUUUGUUUCAGUUAAGGAGAGGCCUUUCCUUACUGCUGACUUUAAGGAAACUGGAAAUUGUGCUUGUGGGGGAAGUGGCUUUGGAACUUGGGGCCUCUUUGGGACCUGGUAGGCAAUGGGGUUUGGGGGCAAGUUUGUGGGACAUGUGUCUGAACAGGAAGGAAGGGAGGAGCAGUGGGGCCAGCCAGGAAGCAGUGCCGAAUGCAGAUUUCUCUUCUUGUGCAGCUUUGCUUAGAGUUGAACAUUACUUCCCAGAGAUAGAUUGACCCCAAUCCUGCAGAGAUUGGCUAUCCUGCUCUUCAACUUAUUUUUAGAUAUAUGGUCUCACUUGAAUCUCACAUCCAAUGAGGAGUUCCUGACCCCUCAAUUUAGCUCCACCUGGCAUUCCAGAGCAAUUCAAGGACCUGGUAGGGCUACUAGCAAUCCACUGCUACAUAUAGGGGAACAAUGAGUUUUAAAGCUGCUCAGAAAUCUGUGAUUCGAGUAUCAGGAAAUCCUUGACUCUUUAUCAAAUGUGAAGUUGCUGAUUUAAGAAAUAAAGUUAAGAAACAAUAUUCAUUAACAGAAUGGAAUUUAAUGCAACCGCUGGUGUUUUGGGGUUAUUUUCUGGUCACAUAGUGCCCCCUGGUGGGUUCACUGACAUACUCUUCUGGAAUGCUCCUUUCCCAGGCUGUGCUUUGUGACAAGGCCAGCACCAGCAGGGUGAUUCCAAGAAUUUGCAGUUUAGGCACAGUCCAACGAUGCUCUAAAGAUUGUCUGUUAAGGGAAAAUAUGAGUUAUGAAAAUGCUGUGGGUUGUACUGUAUCCCCCACCAAAAGAUACGUUAAAGUCCUAAGCCCCAAUACCUGUGAAUGCAGACUUAUUUGGAAAAAGGGUCUUUGCAGAUGUAACUAUGAAACUAAGGUGAGGUCAUUAGGGCAAGCCCUUAAUCCAGUAUGACUGUGUUCUUAUAAGAGGAGGAGAGGCUGGGUGCAGUGGCUCACACCUGUAAUCCCAGCGAUUUGGGAGGCUGAGGCGGGAGGAUCGCUUGAGCCCAGGAUUUGCUGGGCAACAUAUCGAGACCCCAUCUCUACUAAAAAUUUAAAAAUUAGCCAGACAUGGUGGCACGCAGCUGUAGUCUCACCUACUUGGAAGGCUAGUGGGAGGAUGGCUUGAGCCCAGGAGUCCGAGGCUGCAGUGAGCUAUGAUCAUAUCAAUGCACUCCAGUCUGGGCAACAAGGGAGACCCUGACUCAAAAAAACAAAACAAAAACAAAACAAAACAAAACAAAAAAAGAGGAGGAGAGAGACACACAAGGAGAGAAUGCCAUGUGACAAUGGAGACAGACACUGGACUGAUGCACCUGCAGACCGAGGAAUGCGCAAGGAUUGCCAGCAGCCCCCAGAAGCCAGGAGCGGGACAUGGAAUAGAGUCUCUCUCAACCCCUCAGAAAGUUCUAAUCCUGCUGAUGCCUUGAUUUUGGACUUCAGCGUCCAGAACUGUGAGAUGAGAUAUGUUUGUUGCUUAAGCCUCCCGGUUUAUGCUGCUUUGUGAUGGCAGCCCAAGCAGACGAAUACAGAAAGAAAUGGGGAUUUGAGUUGGAAGAACUGCUUUGAGUCCCAGCUACCACUUAGUACCUGAAUGACCUUGGGCAAAGAAGUUCAAUUUUUCUGAGCCUCAGUUUUAUAAACUGCAAAAUGGAGAAAUACAAAAGUAACUGUUCUCCUGCCUCAGGAUCCCUGUGAGGAUGAAGUGUGACUAUGUGUAUAAAAAUAUUUUGUUUAUUGUACAGCACUGUGUACUGCAAUCUUAUUACACAAAGAAAGGAAGGUGGGAGGUAGUAGAGCGGAGUGAUUACAAGCUAGGCUCUGGCUGGGCACAGUGGCUCAUGCCUGUAAUCUCAGCACUUUGGGAGGCUGAGGUGGGUGGAUCACCUGAGGUCAGGAGUUUGACCUGGCCAACAU
RNAcentral lists this long non-coding RNA (4082 nucleotides) under Homo sapiens (human). Its description in RNAcentral is "RAB4A antisense RNA 1 (RAB4A-AS1)". The record is from RNAcentral. Lineage: Eukaryota; Metazoa; Chordata; Mammalia; Primates; Hominidae.